Molecule: long non-coding RNA, 298 nt
Organism: Mauremys mutica (yellowpond turtle)
Lineage: Eukaryota; Metazoa; Chordata; Testudines; Geoemydidae
Exons: 3
Source: RefSeq, a predicted model, not a curated record
UAGCCCGUCCCAUUAUAUCUGCAGCCAAUGCCAGGAGAGAGAAAAGAAGGGAGCCUGGCUCAGUCAAGGGCUGACUGGCGAAGAGGCAGGAGCUCUCUGUAUGCCUGCCUGAAGCCUGAAGAACUGUUCUGAGAAAACAGAUAAGCCUCGCAACACAUCCUCAUGGACAAAAACUUGGGCUCUGCUGGACAAACUGAAUCUAGAGGAUGUAGUUAUUCAUGUUUAGAACACGUUUGAUCAGGGACAUCAACAAGCUUCAUAUACCUUUACAUUUCACAAUGUGCACAGCAAGAACAAC